AACGAACGCUGGCGGCAUGCCUAACACAUGCAAGUCGAACGAGACCUUCGGGUCUAGUGGCGCACGGGUGCGUAACGCGUGGGAACCUGCCCUUAGGUUCGGAAUAACUCCCCGAAAGGGGUGCUAAUACCGGAUAAUGUCUUCGGACCAAAGAUUUAUCGCCUUUGGUUGGGCCCGCGUUGGAUUAGCUAGUUGGUAGGGUAAAAGCCUACCAAGGCGACGAUCCAUAGCUGGUCUGAGAGGAUGAUCAGCCACACUGGGACUGAGACACGGCCCAGACUCCUACGGGAGGCAGCAGUGGGGAAUAUUGGACAAUGGGCGAAAGUCUGAUCCAGCAAUGCCGCGUGAGUGAUGAAGGCCUUAGGGUUGUAAAGCUCUUUUACCCGGGAUGAUAAUGACAGUACCGGGAGAAUAAGCUCCGGCUAACUCCGUG
This 433-nucleotide ribosomal RNA is filed under the name uncultured bacterium. RNAcentral describes it as "partial 16S ribosomal RNA". It matches the Rfam family "Bacterial small subunit ribosomal RNA", at positions 29 to 507 of the family's 1533-position model. The record is from RNAcentral.